This 587-nucleotide ribosomal RNA is filed under the name uncultured bacterium. Its description in RNAcentral is "partial 16S ribosomal RNA". It matches the Rfam family "Bacterial small subunit ribosomal RNA", at positions 355 to 1375 of the family's 1533-position model. The record is from RNAcentral.
UGGGGAAUUUUGGACAAUGGGCGAAAGCCUGAUCCAGCAAUGCCGCGUGUGUGAAGAAGGCCUUCGGGUUGUAAAGCACUUUUGUCCGGAAAGAAAUCCUUGGCUCUAAUACAGUCGGGGGAUGACGGUACCGGAAGAAUAAGCACCGGCUAACUACGUGCCAGCAGCCGCGGUAAUACGUAGGGUGCAAGCGUUAAUCGGAAUUACUGGGCGUAAAGCGUGCGCAGGCGGUUUGCUAAGACCGAUGUGAAAUCCCCGGGCUCAACCUGGGAACUGCAUUGGUGACUGGCAGGCUAGAGUAUGGCAGAGGGGGGUAGAAUUCCACGUGUAGCAGUGAAAUGCGUAGAGAUGUGGAGGAAUACCGAUGGCGAAGGCAGCCCCCCUGGGCCAAUACUGACGCUCAUGCACGAAAGCGUGGGGAGCAAACAGGAUUAGAUACCCUGGUAGUCCACGCCCUAAACGAUGUCAACUAGUUGUUGGGGAUUCAUUUCCUUAGUAACGUAGCUAACGCGUGAAGUUGACCGCCUGGGGGAGUACGGUCGCAAGAUUAAAACUUAAAGGAAUUGACGGGGUCAUAGCUGUUUCCU